AUAAAAACACCAUCUGUCUUUCAAAGAGGUUGCAUCAUCCAUUACAUCAAGCAGUUAACUAAAAAUGAAGGCUGUUUUGGCUCUGUUGGUCGUCCUCGGAUUUGCCUCUUCUGCUCUGGCUGGAAGUUACGGUGGGGGUGGUGGAGGUUACUAUAAUUACUACAAACCAGCCAUUUAUCCUCAAUAUGGAUACGUUAAACCGUACUAUCCGGCACCCGUUGUUAAGGGAGGUGUUGGUUUUUCUGACGGGUCAGGAAUAAUCAUCCCUAUAAUCAUAAUUUUUGUCUUGUUGGCUGUCUUCGCACCAGUGCUUAUUGGCUCCCUGGUUUCCAGUAAUGAAGCUCUCUGGGACUCAAUUGACAGAAAAUAAAAAUAAUACAGGAAUCAAUAGGAAAAGGGAAAAAAUGUUGUACUUUCACUGCCUGUAUCACAAUAAAUAUUUUGUACGUCGAUAAAAAA
This is a long non-coding RNA of Magallana angulata, 459 nucleotides long. RefSeq lists it as uncharacterized. The record is from RefSeq and is a predicted model, not a curated record. The transcript has 4 exons. NCBI's taxonomy places the organism in Eukaryota, Metazoa, Mollusca, Bivalvia, Ostreida, Ostreidae.